RNAcentral lists this transfer RNA (92 nucleotides) under Armillaria solidipes. RNAcentral describes it as "tRNA-Thr". Lineage: Eukaryota; Fungi; Basidiomycota; Agaricomycetes; Agaricales; Physalacriaceae. The record is from RNAcentral.
UCCCUCUUAGCUCAGCUGGUAGAGCGCGUCACUAGUAUGAAUUGCUAGGAAAUCCUAUGACGAGGUCAGUCGUUCAAGUCGGCUAGAGGGAA